This 481-nucleotide long non-coding RNA is filed under the name Vigna radiata. Its description in RNAcentral is "long non-coding RNA (VRAD_LNC014488)". The record is from RNAcentral. Lineage: Eukaryota; Viridiplantae; Streptophyta; Magnoliopsida; Fabales; Fabaceae.
GAAAAUCUGCAGAAGGGUUCACAAAUGGUAUAUAAAGAGGUUAGAACGGAUGUAGAAUGGGUGUAGAAAGACUCUUGAAAAGGUUUAGUAAGGGUGUAAGAAGAUGAAGAAAGAUGUAGAAAUCGUGUACAAAGUGUCUAUAAAGUGAGUACAAAGGGUUUACAAAUGUUGUAUAAAGUGUUUAUAAAGGGUGUAAAAAGGGUGUAUAAAGGGUGUACAAAGGGUGUAGACCCAUUCUACCUCUUUUUAAAAAAAUAUGUAGAAAGCCUGCAGAAGGGUUCAGAAAUGGUAUAUAAAGGGGUUAGAAAGGAUGUAAAAAGGGUGUUGAAAGACUCUUGAAAAGGUUUAGUAAGGGUGUAAGAAGAUGAAGAAAGAUAUAGAAAUCGUGUACAAAGUGUGUAUAAAGUGAGUACAAAGGGUUUACAAGUGUUUUAUAAAGGGUGUAUAAAGGGUGUACAAAAGGUGUAUAAAGGGUGCACAA